UGGGAGGAGGGGAUCUUGGG
RNAcentral lists this microRNA (20 nucleotides) under Homo sapiens (human). RNAcentral's name for it is "hsa-miR-7106-5p". Lineage: Eukaryota; Metazoa; Chordata; Mammalia; Primates; Hominidae. The record is from miRBase by way of RNAcentral.